UGGGGAAUCUUGCACAAUGGGGGCAACCCUGAUGCAGCGACGCCGCGUGAGCGAUGAAGCCCUUCGGGGCGUAAAGCUCUUUCGACCGGAACGAUAAUGACGGUACCGGGAGAAGAAGCUGCGGCUAACUACGUGCCAGCAGCCGCGGUAAUACGUAGGCAGCAAGCGUUGUUCGGAGUUACUGGGCGUAAAGAGUGCGUAGGCGGUUUUCUAAGUUCGGUGUGAAAUCUCCCGGCUUAACUGGGAGGGUGCGCCGAAGACUGGGAAGCUGGAGUGUGGGAAAGGCAGGCGGAAUUCCUGGUGUAGCUGUGAAAUGCGUAGAGAUCAGGAGGAACACCGGCGGUGUAGACGGCUUGCUAGACCAUAACUGAUGCUGAGGCACGAAAGCGUGGGUAGCAAACA
RNAcentral lists this ribosomal RNA (402 nucleotides) under uncultured bacterium. RNAcentral describes it as "bacterial SSU rRNA". It matches the Rfam family "Bacterial small subunit ribosomal RNA", at positions 355 to 774 of the family's 1533-position model. The record is from RNAcentral.